AGAUAUUUACUCAACAGAAAUGAAAGCUUAUGUGCACACAAAGACUUGUAUAUGACUAUUUAUAUCAGCUUGAUUCAUAAUCACUAAAAACUAGAAACAACUCAAAUAUCAAUUAGCCAGUGAACAGAUAAACAAAUUGUUGUACAACCAUAAAAUGGAAUAUUACUCAGCAAUAAAAGGAACAAACUACUGAAUAUAACAUAUUUAUUAUCUAAGUGAAAGAAGACAGAAACAAUCAUAUGAAUUAGUCACUUAUAUGACAUUUUGGAAAGGCAAAACUAAAAGAAUUGUAAUCAUAUCAGUGGUAGCCAGGAUAUUGGGAAAGGAGAUUGGGAAAGAGGUAUGAGGAAAUUUUAUGGGAUGACGGAAAUGUUCAAUAUCCUGAUUCCGGGGGUGGUUAGAUAUUUACAUAAGUAUUUAUCAAAAUUCAUGGAACUGUACACCUAAAAGACUAAAUUUUACUCUAUGUCAAUUAUACUUCAAUGAACCUGAUGUUUGAAAAAAACCCAGAUUACAAGACUAUUGCUUAUUUUCGGAGAAAAAAUUAAAAUGAUAGUCUUAUGGGACUAAGGUGCUGGCCUUCACAAUGAGCAUGAUGUGGAAGAAGAGAUAGAGAGUUAAUAUCAAAUAGUAGUGCCAUGGUCAGAAUUUUUAAUGUUCAAAGAUGUGGUUCUUUUAGAUCUAUGGAAAAAUAGUCAAUGGACUUGGGGGAUGAUAUCAUUUUUUCUCUUGAUGCUGUGUAACCAUAGAUUUCCCUAAUAUACUCUAAUUUUUCAGAGUCUUUUACUUUCCAACUCUUGCAACUUUGAACAAUUGCUCUUUCAACUACCUGCCUUUACCUUUAUUUCAUUGUUUAAAUUUUAUUCUUUACUACAUACAUGGCAUACUAUCUUAUUUAAUAAAUCUAUAAUUUGUCAUUAUGGACAUAUUGUAAUAAGUUCAUUAAAUAAAAGACCAAAAAUCUUCAUAAAUCUGAUCACAUCCUCACAUAUAAUAUAUAAUGCCACAAUAUUUUAAUUUCUAUUUUACUAUGUACAAAUUAACUUUCAAUUAAUGAAAUUUAUUAUAGUAAAAUUCUAACUAGAUAGAUAAAUAUAAGUUUUUGGAUAAGACAGUAGUUGGAAACUUUGCAUUCUGCUAUUGCUAAGAAAUAAAUAGGAUUUUAUCUAUUUUUCAAAAUUUCCUGUGUGCACUGCUAAUGCUAACCAUUCAAUUUUUCUAAUUAUGUCAAAAUGGUAUCCUGGAAGACAAUGGUUCGAUUCAUUAUGAAUUCACAAAUAGCAUUGACUCAAUAGAACUCCACAUCAGACCUUUUCUCCCAUUUUCUCAUGGCAGAAUCUCUAGUUCAUGAAUACAAGUCUAGGAUACAAUCAGAAGUAAGUUCAAGGACAACGAUGGCAGCAAAGGAAUAUAAAAGACAUAAACUCACAAGGAUGAACAGGAGGGGAGAUGACAGCAGACAAGAGAUGUCAACAAGUUGAGAAAGGAGGAGAGAGGACAGAUGAGAGGUACCCGUGACUUCGCAGUGCCAUUGGGGGAGAGCUGAACACUAGGAGUUUGAGGUGAAAGAGUAGAAGAGCGAAUGUUUGAGUGACCAAGAGCCAGCACACACUUUCGUCCAGUCCUCACCACCGCAAGGCCUAUGCCCUGCCAUGUUACCACUCAGCGGACUCCUGCACUGGUAAAAGAGCCAUGCCACUGAUUCCUGCCAUGCAAGGAAGUGAUGCAGUGAUUGCCCCACAGAGGGGAGAAGCAAGAGCUGAGUUUAAGACUUCCUCCCACCUAUCCACGGUCCUGGCAGCCCAGGCUGCAGGACAUCCUGGAGGCAGCCAUGAUACAUUUUGUGCCUGAGUGAACUACCUUGUCAGAACGUUUUGGAAAAGUUUCUAGAACUCAUCAGUAAAAAAAAAGACUACAAACAACUUCGAUCCCCAUCACCACUGCGCCAACAAAAAAUAGAGAGAAAACAAUUUGGACUAGUCUGUUUGAGAGAGAAAGAGACACAGACAGACAGAGAGACAGAUGGCGUGUUACUAUACAGAGUGAAAUUUCUGAGAUUUCAUCCUUCUUAGAGUUUUGGUGUUAAACUCUCUUUCCUUUUAUGAAAUGAUGAUGUCAGUAGAUGUAGCUUUUGUUGGUGAAUGUCCUCAAAAAACGUGAAGCCAUCCUCUAUGUUGUUCCUCAUCAUUUUUAAAAUCUUACCGUCCAUAAAAUUCAACAUCCUGAGAACUAUCACUUAAUGACUGUAGAAGAU
RNAcentral lists this long non-coding RNA (2254 nucleotides) under Equus caballus (horse). RNAcentral's name for it is "lncRNA (ENSECAG00000044335.1)". The record is from RNAcentral. Lineage: Eukaryota; Metazoa; Chordata; Mammalia; Perissodactyla; Equidae.